This 467-nucleotide ribosomal RNA is filed under the name uncultured bacterium. Its description in RNAcentral is "partial 16S ribosomal RNA". It matches the Rfam family "Bacterial small subunit ribosomal RNA", at positions 28 to 507 of the family's 1533-position model. The record is from RNAcentral.
GAUGAACGCUGGCGGCGUGCUUAACACAUGCAAGUCGAACGAUGAUGCCCAGCUUGCUGGGUGGAUUAGUGGCGAACGGGUGAGUAACACGUGAGUAACCUGCCCUUGACUCUGGGAUAAGCCUGGGAAACUGGGUCUAAUACCGGAUACGACCAUCUGGCGCAUGUCAUGGUGGUGGAAAGCUUUUGUGGUUUUGGAUGGACUCGCGGCCUAUCAGCUUGUUGGUGGGGUAAUGGCCUACCAAGGCGACGACGGGUAGCCGGUCUGAGAGGGUGACCGGCCACACUGGGACUGAGACACGGCCCAGACUCCUACGGGAGGCAGCAGUGGGGAAUAUUGCACAAUGGGCGCAAGCCUGAUGCAGCGACGCCGCGUGAGGGAUGACGGCCUUCGGGUUGUAAACCUCUUUCAGUAGGGAAGAAGCGAAAGUGACGGUACCUGCAGAAGAAGCGCCGGCUAACUACGUG